This 71-nucleotide transfer RNA is filed under the name Camelus bactrianus (Bactrian camel). It matches the Rfam family "tRNA". From Rfam's summary of the family: Transfer RNA (tRNA) molecules are approximately 80 nucleotides in length. Their secondary structure includes four short double-helical elements and three loops (D, anti-codon, and T loops). RNAcentral also lists the same sequence under 1 other name. The record is from Rfam by way of RNAcentral. Lineage: Eukaryota; Metazoa; Chordata; Mammalia; Artiodactyla; Camelidae.
GGUAGUGUAGUUCAGUGGAGAGUAUGUGCUUAGCAUGCACAAGGUCCUGGGUUCAAUUCCCAGCACCCUCA